Molecule: long non-coding RNA, 6762 nt
Organism: Choloepus didactylus (southern two-toed sloth)
Lineage: Eukaryota; Metazoa; Chordata; Mammalia; Pilosa; Megalonychidae
Exons: 3
Source: RefSeq, a predicted model, not a curated record
GGAGCAGGGCUACUUAAACCAAAGAUUUACAUUUGAAUUCAUAAUGCUAAGAUGCUGCUGUGAUCCAGUCUAAAGACCAUUUCUGGAGUAAAUGGACUUGGGUCCUAGGUUCUAUUCGUCUCUUUCACUUACUAGCCAUGUGACUUCGAGUAAGUCUCUUAAUUCUUCAGUUUUACUUUUUCUCAUUUGUGAAAACUUAAGUCUCAGCACUGUGAGGAUGCAAUUCAGUGUACUGUAAAAGGCCGGUGGGCAGUGGGCGGGCGUCUUCUUCCACAAGCACACCAUGUGGGUCUCAAUCCGGGCACCUUAUACAGUGUUUGAGUGCCGGCGCUCAGCAAAAUAAGGAGCUUGCUUCCUAUACCCACAGUUAAUUGUUACCAAAAAAGUCAGCUGAGCCAGACAGUGAGCUUAGUGCUAUAUCUAAUUUACUUCUUGGUGCAAGCUCUUCGCAAACAGGUGACAGCCUGCAGAUCUUGGCUGAUCUGUGCCCUAUCCUAGUCUCCAAAAUACUUUAAUAUCUGAAUAAAAGAUGACUUCUCAAGCUUUGUGCACUGUGAGGUUCAGACUUGAACAUUCCCAAAUUAACUAAAAAACCAGAGCAAGAACUUACAGCACCAGGUCUUUUCCAAAUCUAAAACUAGCUGCUGUGAGAUUUAACAUCUCUAAGACUUAGCUUCCUUAACUGUUACUGAUCCUCCUUUAAAUUACAAAUGUAACUAAUUACAUUGUAAAAAACUUUCAGAAGCAUAUAGAGUAACAAUGAAAGCUCCCCACCUCACCCUCCUCUAACCCUUCGAUCACACUCCUCAGGAAUAAGUACAGUCAAAUAAUGGUCCUUUGUGUUUAGGGAUGUGUGUACACAUAUAGAUACCAAUUUUGUUAUUUUCUUAAAAAAAUGGUGGGAUCACAAAUGCAGGUCAGCAACUUGCUUUUUACUUUAGAAGUAUAUCAUAGAUAACUCUUAUGGUGGUACACUGACAGUGUCAACAGCAUUGUUUUUAAGCUGUACGUCCAUGGCAUGGAGACCCAAUAAAUUAACUGUUUCCUUAUUGAGAGAAACUUAAAUCUCAACUUUUUUCAGCACAACAAGCUGGUCGUAUCUACAUGCAUAUCUAUCGAUAUUUCUAUAGACUAGGUUUUAAGUGGUGUGACUGACAGGUCAAAGGGCAGGAACCUUUGUACUCCUGACAGAUACAAAGUGCUUCAAAAGGGUUCAAUCCAGUGAUUCUCAACUGGGGCACUUUUGGCCCCCAGAGCUUACAUAAAGCUGCUUGCCUAGGGAGGAGCAAGAGGACAGAGCUCAUCACUGGGAACUAACUCAAGCUCACUGUCUGGAUCUGCUAUUUCCUAACAGCAUCUUGGGCCAAGAACCUAGAAUUGCCCAUGUAUGAGGGAGCUGAGACUGCACUGGGGUCCAAGUAGAAGCAAAGGCAAAACUGCAAGCAGGGGUAGUAACAGGGAAGUAUGUUGGGGAAAAGGGGGUGGGAGGAAGGAACCAACUGCCUCCCCCACAAAAUCUACCUUGCAAGCCAAAAUUCCAAAAUACAUGAAGAACUCUAAGAGGUUAAGAAGAUAAAUGCAACAAUAUACAAUAAUAAUAAAAAUACCCCAUGUUCCCUUUCAUCCCCAGGUCUUACAUGUGUGAAGCCAAGAGUCUUGCUCUCCCCAGCCUCCUCCUACACAUUUCAUGCCGUCAAGACACUGCUUUAACCACUUCCCACACCCACCAUAAAGCAUCCCCAAGUCCACAAGACUGAGGCCUGGCCUCAUGCUUACGUACUCCCCCAAGAAUCUGGCUUAUUCCUUUAAUUUUUUUGACCAUGCUAAGCUUUCACUGCUUGUUUACAGUCUCUUACCACUUGUCUGCUAACUGCCUGAGUCCAGGGACUACCUUGUUCCAAAUCAGCAUCUGCUGAGACUGAAGGAAUGGAUGACUUGCGUAAAGUAUUUACCUUCAUUAAAGCUGUCUCACCACUGUUCUGCUGGACAUUGACAAAAGCUCCUGCUUCCAAAAGGAUAGCCACUGUAGUUAAAAAGUUCUAGUACAAAAGAAUAAAAGGCAAAUUAAAUUCCAGAAAUUCUUUAAGAAUUAAUGUUUUGAAAUUUUUAGUCAUCAGGAAAAACAGAAGAGUUUCUAUCCUAAGCAGACUGCCGAACAUUUUCCAAUUUCUUUAUUGUACACCCAGGAUGCUUCAAUGUGAAAUUACCCAUGAGAACCUGAUGCUGCAGGGAACUGUGCCCCCUCCCCACUGUGCUCUUAGGCACAAAUACAGGCAGACACCAUUUUCCCAGCCAUUUCAACCUCAAGUGUCACCACUGGCUUCAACGUAAGGGCCUCCGCAUACAGACUCUUCGACAAUAUAGAUCAUGUUUUGAAAAUUCGAUUACACAGUACGACUACUGAAAUAUGAAAUUAUAGUCAUGAUUGUAGAUCUCCAUUCCUCCUUAUGUUUCAAUAUAGUAUCAGGAUACUGAUUCUUUCUAGGUUUGCUGCAGGAAUUUUCAUUGUGGUUACAAAAUUGAUGCCUAUUAAAAGUUACCUUCUCCGCUGCAUGGAUUAGUGCCGUGGUUCCGUUCUUCUGUCUGCCAUUAACUUUUGCUCCUUUUCUGAUGAGGAGCCUAAGCAAGUCAUCUUGCCCCCCUGCCGCAGCGAGCAUCACAAGGGUCAUCCCACUUGAAUCCUUGAUUUUUUUUUUUUGUCAUAGAAAAAACAUGUUAAUAUUCAAUCAGAAGAAUUUUAGAACUAAGUCUUUUCACCUAGGAUGCUUCAAUGUGAAAUUACCAAACACACUCAUUUCAGCAUCCACUUUUUUCACUAAAAUCUCCUAAUAAACAUUCGGCAAUAGUAACCUUAAAUUUUUUUUUCAUCUGUAAGUGUUACCAUAAAUUUUCACAAUUUUCAUGUAAAGUUCUGAAGGCACAUCGACAGUUUGUGUGAUGUAAAAUGAACAGUGAAUCUUGAUGCUGUAUAAAUGGCAAAGGCACUUAAUUUUUAUAUCACGUUUUAGGUCCAAGUCUCCAUUGUAUUCUAGGUAAAACAGGUGAAAUUCAUACAUUCAUUUUAUUCAUUCAAGUUGGCCCAAAGAUGUAAGGCUAGAAAUGACCACAUAAGUCCUUACGAAGUCACAUAAAUCCAUUUUAUUGAUGACAAGCUAAAAUGAAUGCUAUUUGUACUAGACAAAUGCUGGCCUGUAGAAAUAAAAUUGGGACAUGGGACCGAACACUCUAAGAAUAAAGAAGAAAAAGAAGUAGAAAAAAGAUACUGAUAUGAUUAGAUCCUAAGAGGCCAGGACAAAAUAGAGAAAUGGAAGAAAAGUGCUUUGAAUAGGGAUAAAAAUGACCUAAAAUUGACAAAAAUAAAAAAAGGUAAUUUUUAGCUAGUAUAUUUCUAGUCUCUAGUCAAUGGCACCAUUUGAUAAAACCAAAUCCCAAUAAUAUGAGUUAAUCUGGUUAUAAUGUAAAAGCUUAGCUGAGUUUACUAUAUCACAAAUAUAAGAAAAAUUAAUUUUGGCAGUAGCACUUUAGAUAGACUUGAGAUCCACUAAAAUUGAAAUAAAUCAUGUAAUCACUUCCUUUCAUUUGUAAAGCAUCUAUUAUUACAAAAACAUCUAUAUGGAAAAAACUUUUUCCAAUUUUAAAAAGAAAGUUCCCUGGAGCUACUAUGCUAUAUUAAGAAAGACCAAAUUACAUAAGCAUCAAAGUAGAAGAAAAAAAAGCAUCUGAUAAAAUCCAAUAUCCAUCCCUGAUAAAAACUUAAGAAGCUAAUGAAGAAACAUUAAAGGCAACUUGCAAGGAACACAUAGCAUAACAAAUAGCAUACUUAACACUGAAUCUAAAGGAAAAAUUCUCAUUCAGUUCGGAACAGGAUAGUAUCACCUGUAUUGCCACCAUUAUCCAAAAUGUUACCAAUUUCACAAGACCAGAAAAAGAAGCAAUAUCAGAAUUUUUUUUUUUUUUUUUUUUCAGAUUGAUUAAAUUCUCUGGGGAAAUCCAAGGCAAGUAACUUAAAAAUGUUCAGAAUAAGGUGACUGGACAAUAUGACACACCUGCACGCACACACACAGACAUCCACAGCUUUAUCAUACACAAGUAAUAACCAUUUAGGAAGCAAAAUGUGGGGGAACAAAGACCAUAAUUAUCAUAGUAAGAUAAAAAUUAAAAAUUAUGUAGAAGUAAAUCUAAAAGAAAUGUGCUACACCUAUACAAAGAAAUAAAUACAUUAAACUUUGCUUAAUGGCAUAAAUGAAGAGCUGAAUGAAUGUAGAGUGUUACUGUGUUUCUAGAUGGAAGGAGUCAACAUGUAAAAAAUGUCAAUUCUCAGCCCAAAUCUAUGUAUUUCAUACAAUUUUAAUCAAAAUCUCAAUGAUAUUUUUUGGAAAUAUAAUAUGAAAGGAUUAAACCUAAGAACAAACAAAAACUGCAGCUAAACCAGAAGUAAUAGAAUACAAGAAUACUUUUUAAAGAAGAUACCCAAAGCCAUACGGAAAACGAGUGACAGCUAUAAUUACCUAAAAAUAUAAACCCUCUAUGCAAUGACAGACAAAAAACAAAACUGAAAAUUAGGAAGGGCAACAUGUCUACAUAACAAGUUCCUAAAAAUCAAUAUGAAAACCCCACAAUGACAAUAGAAACAUGAGCAAUUUCUAUAAAUAGCAACCACCAAAGAAACACAAAUGGUCAAACUAAAACAACAAGGUAUCCUUUUACAACAUCUCAAACUGACAGGGAUGUAAACAACAGAUAAAAUCACAAAGAUAGCAAGCUAACCAAAUGGUCAUUUUUAGGCUUGGAAUUACGGACACGGUAUUUUUCUAAAUUCAGUAUUUCUAAAAUGUUGGACUUUAGUAAAGUGAAUACGCAUUACUGUUACAAUUAAAACAAAAGGAAAGAAAAAUCUAAACUCUUUCAACCUCCUGCAGUGAGCUUUUUCCAAGACACCUUACCUCUUGGUCCAAGUUAUAGUCUUCGUUUGAAUUCAGGGCAACCUUUACGGUAAUAUAAUCCCCAUUUUUCACAGCAUCCCUCAAUAAAUCUGAAAUGAAAAGAUGAAUGAGGUUUUUUAUUAUCUAGAUCUGUAAAAGGGAUUCCUAGAAUUCUAAAACUACUCACUAUUUGGAAUUGCGUCUGCUGUAGCAAAACUCUCAUCUUCCCCAGCAAGAUGCUUUUGGAAAUCUUCCAGUUUCAUCCACUCCAGCUGCAAGUCCAUGCCUAAGCUCAAGAUCUGCUGCUUGCCAUCUGGAACACAGAGGAGCUUCGUAAGACCCAUUUUCCUGGACAUGCUGCUUUAUUACAUUUGUGGUGUCUAAACCAAAACCCUAUAAUGUUUUAACAAGGGUUAUUAAAUAACUGAGUCUUUUCUGUAAUUGAUAAAAUCUGGAUUUUCUUUGGGAGGUAACACAAACUACCCACAUUUAGAGGUCACAGUGUUUCAAAAGCAUAAAGAUAAAAAGGUAACCUAUAACUGUGAAAGAAUGAAAUAAGAAUUUUAAGUACAAGACUAAAAAGUAGCUCAAAGGGGGAGAAAUCAUAGGGAUUAACCAAGAGGAAUUUCAAGUAAUUCUUACUGGACUGACUUCUUUCUUUGACAUACAUUGCUUAGAACUAUUUAGAUAGGUGAUACCACUCUAAAUGUGAAAAUAAAACUCACUGCCUAUUGAUCCUUUCAGACUCAACUCAAACUUCUUCUAGAAGCCUUCCUGCUGGCUGGCUAAAACCAACAGAAAGCAAUAAAGGACAGUGAGGACAACUGGGGAAUUUGAAUGCAGCUGCAUUACUGAUCUAAUAGUAUCGAUAUGUUACAUGGCCAUGUUAAAUUUUCCUGAGUGUGAUACUGCAGGAGGAAUGUCUUUGCUGUUAUGAAAUACAUUCACCAAUUCAAAGGAAAGAGUGAUAUGACAUGUGAAAUUUGCUUAAAAAUACUCCUGUAGAAGGGGCAAGAUGGCAGCAUAAAGAGGACUUGAAUUUAGUUAGUCCCCUGAAGCAACUAAUAAACAACCAGAAACAACUAGUAAAUAAUCUGGAACAAUCACUGGGGGACAACGGUGACCAUCCACACAUCAUAUGAUCAACCUGGAUUGGGUGGAAUGGCUGAGACUGCAGCAUAAAAUCUUUAAGUAAAAACUGUGGAACUACGCUGGGAGCCCUCUCCUCCCAUGGCAGGCUGAGCUGCAAGACUACGCUGUAGGAAAAAGCAGCAGUCCUGGAGCAGGCGAAUAUAGCUCAGCCCAGCUCCUAAAAGGGCAUUUAAUUAACAAAUGUGGACUGCCGAAUACAAGCUACAAACAAAGACAAACCCCUAACAAGCAGACAGAGGCUUUUAAUGAUGACAGACCUUAAAGAGCCACAAAACACCUGUGCCCCAGGAAAGAGAGCCCAGAAGACCAGGUGUUCUCUCUGACUGAUGGGCAAAACUGGCGGGCCUGUGGACUAGCUCUGAAAGGAGGCUUUCUUUCCUUUAUUCUCUCUCUCAAUCUGAGUGGCUCAGUGGAGAGAGCCUCAGCCAUUUUCAGUUCACAGCACUCUGACCCAGACGGGGGAGAUAACAGAGUCAGAGAGACAAAGGAGCAAUUGAAAUGCAGAAGCUAACUCCCUAGGGAGUGUAUCUUCCCUUAGGAGAAGGAGGUAGGGCCCAGUUCUAGUGCAGGCCUUCCCUUCAGAACUCAAAACACCAGGGCCUGGGGGGAAACAAUCAAACCAGAAACCUAAGCUGAGAACUAAAGGGGCCACACCUCCUUAUACCAGUCAGGAGUGACAAGCUGACAG